GAGGGUAUAGCUCAGUUGGCAGAGCGCUUACCUUGCAUGCACAAGGCCCUGGGUUCAAUCCCCAGCACCGCCA
RNAcentral lists this transfer RNA (73 nucleotides) under Ictidomys tridecemlineatus (thirteen-lined ground squirrel). Its description in RNAcentral is "Spermophilus tridecemlineatus (thirteen-lined ground squirrel) tRNA". It matches the Rfam family "tRNA". From Rfam's summary of the family: Transfer RNA (tRNA) molecules are approximately 80 nucleotides in length. Their secondary structure includes four short double-helical elements and three loops (D, anti-codon, and T loops). Further hydrogen bonds mediate the characteristic L-shaped molecular structure. tRNAs have two regions of fundamental functional importance: the anti-codon, which is responsible for specific mRNA codon recognition, and the 3' end, to which the tRNAs corresponding amino acid is attached (by aminoacyl-tRNA synthetases). tRNAs cope with the degeneracy of the genetic code in two manners: having more than one tRNA (with a specific anti-codon) for a particular amino acid; and 'wobble' base-pairing, i.e. permitting non-standard base-pairing at the 3rd anti-codon position. Lineage: Eukaryota; Metazoa; Chordata; Mammalia; Rodentia; Sciuridae. The record is from Rfam by way of RNAcentral.